RNAcentral lists this ribosomal RNA (452 nucleotides) under Salmonella enterica subsp. enterica serovar Rissen. Its description in RNAcentral is "partial 23S ribosomal RNA". It matches the Rfam family "Bacterial large subunit ribosomal RNA", at positions 161 to 638 of the family's 2925-position model. Lineage: Bacteria; Pseudomonadati; Pseudomonadota; Gammaproteobacteria; Enterobacterales; Enterobacteriaceae. The record is from RNAcentral.
AAUCCAUAGGUUAAUGAGGCGAACCGGGGGAACUGAAACAUCUAAGUACCCCGAGGAAAAGAAAUCAACCGAGAUUCCCCCAGUAGCGGCGAGCGAACGGGGAGGAGCCCAGAGCCUGAAUCAGCAUGUGUGUUAGUGGAAGCGUCUGGAAAGGCGCGCGAUACAGGGUGACAGCCCCGUACACAAAAGCGCAUGUGCUGUGAGCUCGAUGAGUAGGGCGGGACACGUGGUAUCCUGUCUGAAUAUGGGGGGACCAUCCUCCAAGGCUAAAUACUCCUGACUGACCGAUAGUGAACCAGUACCGUGAGGGAAAGGCGAAAAGAACCCCGGCGAGGGGAGUGAAAAAGAACCUGAAACCGUGUACGUACAAGCAGUGGGAGCCCCACCACUAAGCCAGUGGUGAACUCCACAUACGCAUCCUUUGCUGAGGAUACGGUUAACGGAGCGAAAGC